Molecule: long non-coding RNA, 1063 nt
Filed under: Homo sapiens (human)
Lineage: Eukaryota; Metazoa; Chordata; Mammalia; Primates; Hominidae
Description: HSALNT0047623
Source: RNAcentral
GUUUGCCUGCGGAAGCUCUCUCUUUGCCUACCGCCAUCCAAGUAGAUUUGACUUGCUCCUCGUUGCCUUCCGCCAUGAUUGUGAGGCUUCCUCAGCCACGUGGAACUGUGAAUUCUCCAUUAAACCUCUUCCUUUUUAAAUUGCCCAGUCUCUGAUAGUUUGAUCUGCAGUAGUUUGAAUCUGAGGAUGCUGAACCUGUGGAUAAGGAGAGCCUACUUUUCUUGGACAAAUGCCCUGUGUCAGAAGAGUGUGGUAAACAGAAGCUCAGCUCCUUCAAGGAUGACAGCCUUGGUUACACCACCAGUUUCUCUAGGAAAAGAGACCAAAGUCAGGGAGCAGUCGUUUUCACAUGGGAUGAACUCAGUGUAAGAGGCAAGCAGAUUGUGGAAGAUUAGAAGAUAAUGGAUACUAUUAUUCCAUCCAGAUUCCUCUUCAGGACCAAGGACUCAUUUUCCAGCUGGCAGGAAUGUUAGCUACUGACGGCCAUGGCUGAGUUCCUCUUCAGGAAUUAUCCUCCACUUGAGGGGAAUUGCUUUGUUCAGUGUUACACUCCCUCUAUAGUGGCAGCCCACACUGGUUGAUGUGGGGUACAAAGUCCUGGACCUUGUCUUAGAUGGGAUAGUUCUGAAGGGCUAUUCCAGCUCCAGAACUCCUCAUAGGAUUGGCUGAGGUCUCCUCUGCAACUGGAUCACAGUUCAACUUUUUCUUCUGCCCAGUCCUUCUUCUCUCAUCUGUUGCCAGUUUUAUUCGUGAGUGUGUUUCCCAAUAAACCCCCUGCAUGCAAAUCUCAGAGUCUGUUUCCUAGGGAACUCAGCCUAUGUUGGCUAGUGAAAGAAACUUUUAUAUGUAUUUGGAAUAAGCCUUCGGAAGUAUAUACAGGUUAGCUACCUCUACCCUAAGUGAGUGUGAGUGACUAAUGCUAUCCAGUUAUGGAUGAAGGAAAAACUGUAAAAUGGAAUGUCGUUCCAAAGAAUCAAAAUGAUUUGUUAUUCUCAGGAAAAUCCCUUCAUUUGAUCAUGAAUAAAGAUGAAUAGAACUUUUAAGAAUAGAAAGCCCCUUAAAA